GUCCAUGACUUAGCGAUUUGUCUGAGACGCUGAGCCAGCACUUGUGCAGAACACUUCCGGCGAUGUGGUCCUUUGACCGAUAUUCCUGGACAGCCUGAUGUUAAGAGGCUGGUUCCUAUGGAUGUGAGGUCUGCCUGGCCUGAGGUCUACUUGUCACCGAUACCGUAUUGAGACCGGUUCUGAAGGGUGAUUGGAAGAAAAGAUGGUGGUGCCUGUAGAACUCCACUUAGGUCUGCAAAGUACUGGCCUAGCUAUUGCAAAGAUGCUCUAAGAUUUCUCAGUCUGAUCCUAUCUGGAGAGUGCUGUUCCCUGCCACUUCCUCAUCAUUGCUUCUCUCCAUUUGCACCCCCUCCAGGGACCUACUGCUGCCUGAGUCCUUGUUUUGGCAUAGGUUGGGGACAGGGGUGUGGGGUCUGAGUUCCACCUGGGCCCUGGGAACCCACCUCCCUCAGAGACGGCGGUGCCAGGCCAGGCUGGUAGGAAGACACAAAAAGAAUGGCGGGGAGGGAGGGCCUGUGUUCACAACUCCCCUUCCCACAGCCCUGGACACAGAAUCCCAUAAUGGCCUUUGGGGGCCUUGGUCUGAAGUCUGGGUUUUCCACUUGCCAGGGGCGUGAUGUCUCUGGUGAAGCUUUGAUGGAAGCCGGGGGCUGUGAACGAGAAACCCUUUAGAAGCCCCGCCCCUUCCUGCUGUUCGCGGUUUGGUUUUUCUUCCUUAGCUCUGGACCAAGAACAUGUUCAGACGUUCCCAAGGGCCCCUUCGCCGCUCAAGGUCUUGGGUCUCCGACGCGCCCGGUCUCCACACAGGGGCGCAUCCCCGGCGGCGUGCGUAAUCGCGGCUUCCUGCCAGCCGCCCCUGACCUUUCCAUCCAGGCAGCUCCGGCUCACGGCCCAGUUCUCUGCGAGCCGGCUGGUGACGUGAGCCGCCUCCCCGGCACUGGCCGCUUAGAUGCCAAGGGGCUGCCGGAAGGCUCCGUCCUCCUGAGUUGGGUGUCAGGACAGCCCGGUUUUCCAGUUCUUCUUCCUGGUUGGUUUCAAGAAACCAGCCUCAACGCCCUGAACAAGAAGAGAAACCAAAAGUACCGUGCUGGUUCCCCCAAGUCCGCCUCCCUUCUGCCCUCCUGAUGGUCUGUCUCUGGGGGCUAGCGCCCCCAUCAGCUGACUGCUGCAUGACCUGAAGCCUGCGGGCUACCUUAAGUGUGGGUGGUGAAGUGAAUUGAACUCGUGCCCCCUGCAGUGGAAGCGCGGAGUCUUAACUGCUGGACCUCUGGGGAAGUCCCUCAUUCCUGCUUGAAAACACAGGAGAAGCGCCUCACUGGGCACCUGGGGAGUGUCUGAAACCUCACCUAGGACCCUCUUUCUCUCCAUUAGCUGUGGGGGCAGCGUGACUGACUGGCCGGGGGGACCUGAGCAGCGGUGCCAUGCCACAGGGAGGGGCCAGGCCACUGUCCUCUGUGCCCCGGAGGCCGACACCAGAUGCCUGGCCCCAGGUUCCUAAGCUGUCACCUUACAGGCCCUGGGUCCUGCCCUGAGACCCCCCCUCCUGGUCUGGGCCCAGCCACCCAGGGAUGACUCACCCCCAUUCCGCCCCCGCUGGAACCAGGCACCAAAAUAGUCACCCAGCUCACUCUUGGGAGUGGCCGUGGAAUAUUUCAGGGCCGCGUUCAGUGCCUAAAAAUACUUGGGG
Molecule: long non-coding RNA, 1687 nt
Organism: Bos taurus (domestic cattle)
Lineage: Eukaryota; Metazoa; Chordata; Mammalia; Artiodactyla; Bovidae
Source: Ensembl